UACGGAGGGUGCAAGCGUUAUCCGGAUUCACUGGGUUUAAAGGGUGCGUAGGUGGGAAUGUAAGUCAGUGGUGAAAUCUUCGUGCUUAACAUGGAAACUGCCAUUGAUACUAUGUUUCUUGAAUUUUCUGGAGGUAAGCGGAAUAUGUCAUGUAGCGGUGAAAUGCUUAGAUAUGACAUAGAACACCAAUUGCGAAGGCAGCUUGCUACAGGGAUAUUGACACUGAGGCACGAAAGCGUGGGGAUCAAACAGG
Molecule: ribosomal RNA, 253 nt
Filed under: uncultured bacterium
Lineage: Bacteria
Description: partial 16S ribosomal RNA
Rfam family: Bacterial small subunit ribosomal RNA
Source: RNAcentral